CUGACACAGGGAGGUAGUGACAAUAAAUAACAAUGCCGGGCCUUUACAGGUCUGGCAAUUGGAAUGAGAACAAUUUAAAUCCCUUAUCGAGUAUCAAUUGGAGGGCAAGUCUGGUGCCAGCAGCCGCGGUAAUUCCAGCUCCAAUAGCGUAUAUUAAAGUUGUUGCAGUUAAAAAGCUCGUAGUUGGAUUUCAGUCUUAAUUCGUCUGGCCCGCUCCCUUGAGGAGCCGAGUGCCGGUUGCGAAUUGGACUUCCUUCUAGCAUGAAACCUCUACCGUUAUGCGGCCGGGGGGGACAUCUGGAUCAUUUACUUUGAAGAAAUUAGAGUGUUCAAAGCAAGCUUACGCUGUGAAUAUAUUAGCAUGGAAUAAUAACAUAGGACUAGGGUUCUAUUUUGUUGGUUUCUAGAGCCAAAGUAAUGAUUGAUAGGGACAGUUGGGGGUGCUGCUAUUAUAUGGCCAGAGGUGAAAUUCACGGAUUCAUAUAAGAGCAACUUAUGCG
This 500-nucleotide ribosomal RNA is filed under the name uncultured chlorarachniophyte. RNAcentral describes it as "bacterial SSU rRNA". It matches the Rfam family "Eukaryotic small subunit ribosomal RNA", at positions 451 to 947 of the family's 1831-position model. The record is from RNAcentral. Lineage: Eukaryota; Cercozoa; Chlorarachniophyceae.